GCGUGAGUGGCGGAACUUGGUAGACGCGUCAGACUUAGGAUCUGAUAAGAACCAUUCUUGUGCCGGUUCAAAUCCGGUCUCACGUA
This 86-nucleotide transfer RNA is filed under the name Candidatus Tremblaya phenacola PAVE. Its description in RNAcentral is "tRNA-Leu (TAG) (tRNA-Leu-TAG-1-1)". It matches the Rfam family "tRNA". From Rfam's summary of the family: Transfer RNA (tRNA) molecules are approximately 80 nucleotides in length. Their secondary structure includes four short double-helical elements and three loops (D, anti-codon, and T loops). The record is from RNAcentral. Lineage: Bacteria; Pseudomonadati; Pseudomonadota; Betaproteobacteria.